Molecule: ribosomal RNA, 253 nt
Filed under: uncultured bacterium
Lineage: Bacteria
Description: partial 16S ribosomal RNA
Rfam family: Bacterial small subunit ribosomal RNA
Source: RNAcentral
UACGGAGGGUGCGAGCGUUGUUCGGAAUCACUGGGCGUAAAGCGCGUGUAGGCGGCCCACUAAGUCUGAUGUGAAAGCCCGGGGCUCACCCCCGGAAGUGCAUUGGAAACUGGUGGACUCGAGUCCCGGAGAGGAGAGUGGAAUUCCUGGUGUAGUGGUGAAAUGCGUAGAGAUCCGGAGGAACACCAGUGGCGAAGGCGACACGCUGGGCCGUACCUGACGCUAAAGCGCGACAGCAUGGGGAGCAAACGGG